AUUUCAACUAAUUACAUCAAUACAAAACACACUCAAAACACGCUAUAAGUUCAAAUUUCAUUCAAAGCCUCACAAAUCGCAAUUAUAAGCAAUUUAACAAAUAAAUAAUUUAAAAAAAGAACUCAUUCACGAAAUACCGAAAAGCUAUAAUAUAAUAUACAAACAAGAUGAGAGUAAGAAGACCUAGAGGCUAGUAGCGAAGGAAGGCAAGGCUUCAACGGCGAGGACAUGCAAGAAAUUCUCUAGCAAACGAUCGACAACGGUUGGAAGACAUGGAGAAUACUUGAUUUCAAUGCAAACAAAAAGCUUCAAUGGCAGUCGAUUUGAGGGAUUGUCUUCGUUAACAGGAAGACAUGCAAGAAAUCCUCUGACAAACAACUGACGAGAUGAUUGGAGGAUGGAGAAGAGACACAAGAUGGAGAAGAAGAAAUGAGCAGAAAGGAAUAAAGGAGGUAGGGAUUUUGAUUUGAGGCGAUGUUUUCGUGGACUGGAUGAAAAAGAAGUAAGAAGAAACAGUUAAAGAAGAAGGUUGAGGCAAA
Molecule: unclassified non-coding RNA, 539 nt
Filed under: Hevea brasiliensis (rubber tree)
Lineage: Eukaryota; Viridiplantae; Streptophyta; Magnoliopsida; Malpighiales; Euphorbiaceae
Source: RNAcentral